RNAcentral lists this long non-coding RNA (713 nucleotides) under Phascolarctos cinereus (koala). RNAcentral's name for it is "lncRNA (ENSPCIG00000008323.2)". Lineage: Eukaryota; Metazoa; Chordata; Mammalia; Diprotodontia; Phascolarctidae. The record is from RNAcentral.
GUGGAAUUCCCUUUUGGACUGAAUUGAAUAUUUGAAUGAGAAAAGCACCACAACAAUAGAAUGCAUAUGAUAAAAGUGAAUACAUGUGAUUUAGAGUUGAGAAUAUCUAUCUGUCCAGGACAGAAAGGGGAAAGAACCACAACUAAAAGUACCUUCAAGAUAACUCUCUCUCUCUCACACACACACCUCCUUCUCUUUCUAUUUUAGUGCCUUCCAUAGAAAUGAAGUCAACCCAGAUAAUUUUGAUCAUUUCAAAUCAUGGCAUGAAUCAUGGCAGACCAGGAAAAGACAAUGAUUUACUACUUUGAAGGGCAAGCAUGUGUGUGAUUAAAGAAUAUAAGUGCAGGACUCCAAGAUUUACUUCCUUCCUGCUCUGUCCAGCAGGGAUACCUGAGGAGAGCAAAAUCCAUCUACUGAAGAAAACAACUGCAUUGCUCUCUCCAGAAGAAAAUGUGCCUUUGAUAUUAAAGUGUUAUGAAGGAGUACAAACGAGAGAGGAGAUCUGGCAAAUGGCACUAGCCGUGAUAAAGAAGGAAUACUACAUUUUCCUAGAGAGCAUUUACUUCCAUGAACAGGAUGUGAAACUGGCUUUCAUUUGCAAGGAUACAAUCUGCCACUUUCAUUUUGUAUCAUCAUCACCCACCAAAAGGCAAUCCUUUUCCAAGGACAAGAGUAAAAAGAAGCAGAAGAAAGGCCUGAAAGGAAUAAAAUGA